CCAAAAGAUGAAAAGAAUGGAAAGGAAAAGGUUUAUUUUCAGAUUUCAUUUUGGAUACUCUAUGCUGCUCCUUUGACAAAUGGAUGUUUGGCAAGUUUCCAGUUUGGGGCUACUGUGAUCGUGCUACUAGCCAUAUCCUGGGGGUUGCAUACUCCACUUGUUUCAGGACCCAAGAAGAGGAAGCAGAUAAAAGAACUGGGCACUUGUAAAACAACAGUGAGAGAAGGGAUAAUCAUGUUGAGCUGCGUGAAGAUGGCCUGCAUGACCCGAAAGCGUGGUAAAAUCCCAACUAGAAGCUAUUAGGUUAUUUAUUUUUCCUCAUUUUCACACAAAAUUGCUCCUUAUCUUUUGUUUCAUUCAUUGCCAGUGUUUUCAUUUUAUCUGAUACUUUACCACUUCUUCACUAUAUGCCUGUUUUUACUUCUUAUGAAGACUCAAUUUUGUUAUGAGUAAAGCAAGUUUAAAAUUUUUUUCUUGCAAAAUAGAAAUAUAGGUUAGAAUUCCAGAGUUACAUUAAUUCUUUUAUUUUUUUGCUUUUGUUUUAGUUGAAGUAUACUUGAUUUAUAUUAUUAAUAAAAAAGUUUCAGGUGUACAACAUAGUAAUUCACACUUUGAGGGAUUAUACUCCACUUAUAGUUAUUAUAAAAUAUUGGCUAUAUUCUCUGUGCUGUACAAUAUAUGCUCAUAGCUUACUUAUUUUAUAUAUAAUAGUUUGUGCCUUUUAAUCCCCUAUCCUUAAUUUUGAUUUCAGAACUAUAAGUCUUCUCUAUUAUUUUAGUUAGAUUUAUAUUAUUGUUCUUUUUAUAUACUGUUAGGUUAAAUGUUUUUAGUCA
Bos grunniens (domestic yak) is the source of this 833-nucleotide long non-coding RNA. The record is from Ensembl. NCBI's taxonomy places the organism in Eukaryota, Metazoa, Chordata, Mammalia, Artiodactyla, Bovidae.